GAUGAACGCUAGCUACAGGCUUAACACAUGCAAGUCGCGGGGCAGCAUGGGGGUUGCUUGCAACCCCUGAUGGCGACCGGCGCACGGGUGAGUAACGCGUAUCCACCCUGCCCUUCACCAGGCGGUAACCCGGCGAAAUCAUACCUAAUACGGUCUGCGGCCCAUUGAGGGCUCCCGUUGUGGACGAAGGGCUGGGGGUGGAAGGUGUGUGGAUGGUUCAGAUUGGCGUGACGGGGGGGUCACGGCCCCCCGAGGCUACGGUCGGUAGGGGUUCUGAGAGGAAGGUCCACCACACUGGAACUGAGACACGGUCCAGACUCCUACGGGAGGCAGCAGUGAGGAAUAUUGGUCGAUGGGCGUAAGCCUGAACCAGCCAAGUAGCGUGCAGGAUGACGGCCCUAUGGGUUGUAAACUGCUUUUAUGCGGGGAUAAAGUGGCCCACGUGUGGGCUUUUGCAGGUACCGCAUGAAUAAGGACCGGCUAAUUCCGUG
RNAcentral lists this ribosomal RNA (491 nucleotides) under uncultured bacterium. RNAcentral describes it as "partial 16S ribosomal RNA". It matches the Rfam family "Bacterial small subunit ribosomal RNA", at positions 28 to 507 of the family's 1533-position model. The record is from RNAcentral.